AACGAACGCUGGCGGCAUGCCUAACACAUGCAAGUCGAACGAGACCUUCGGGUCUAGUGGCGCACGGGUGCGUAACGCGUGGGAACCUGCCCUUAGGUUCGGAAUAACUCCCCGAAAGGGGUGCUAAUACCGGAUAAUGUCUUCGGACCAAAGAUUUAUCGCCUUUGGAUGGGCCCGCGUUGGAUUAGCUAGUUGGUAGGGUAAAAGCCUACCAAGGCGACGAUCCAUAGCUGGUCUGAGAGGAUGAUCAGCGACACUGGGACUGAGACACGGCCCAGACUCCUACGGGAGGCAGCAGUGGGGAAUAUUGGACAAUGGGCGAAAGCCUGAUCCAGCAAUGCCGCGUGAGUGAUGAAGGCAUUAGGGUUGUAAAGCUCUUUUACCCGGGAUGAUAAUGACAGUACCGGGAGAAUAAGCUCCGGCUAACUACGUG
RNAcentral lists this ribosomal RNA (433 nucleotides) under uncultured bacterium. RNAcentral describes it as "partial 16S ribosomal RNA". It matches the Rfam family "Bacterial small subunit ribosomal RNA", at positions 29 to 507 of the family's 1533-position model. The record is from RNAcentral.